Microplitis mediator is the source of this 1213-nucleotide long non-coding RNA. RefSeq lists it as uncharacterized. NCBI's taxonomy places the organism in Eukaryota, Metazoa, Arthropoda, Insecta, Hymenoptera, Braconidae. The record is from RefSeq and is a predicted model, not a curated record. The transcript has 3 exons.
AUUCAUUUUCUAUUCUAACAUAUCGCGCGUUCUAACAUAUUUGUUUGUAACCUUCGAUUUGCCACGAAAUCGUUAUAAAAACGACGAUUUUUAAUGCGAUCGUCCACAACAACGUUUUUCGCGUUCAACCAUCACUUGGUUACGGGUCUGAGCUGUCUUGUUUGCCAUUAAUUAUAUUUUUGAAAAUGGACUUCAAGUUGAUUUCGUUUAUUAUGUUAUUCGCACUACUUUCGAUAGUAAGUAGCGUCCAAGGAUGUGGAAGAGACGGUGUACACUGUCGCAGCCAGGGAGAUUGUUGUAGUGGCUUUUUUUGCUUUCAAGCCGCUAAUGGAACAUUUUGUAAACGAGAAAGCGGAUAAAUUAUUGAAUUUUGAUCAGAAAAAAAACAAAGCAAAUAUUUGAAGUGUUUAAAACGUGUUUUUAAAACUGUGUGUAUCCUUCGAGUUUCUUGAAAAUUUUCUAUUUGACAUUUCUAUCCAUCCUGCAACUUUUAAGCCUGGUCGGGUAGUAGUAGGCCUUCCAUAAUUACCAUUUUUUUUCGAUUUAUGAAAAUUGAAAAAAUUUUUUUUCGCUAUAAAUUAUUAUCAGUACCGCUUUUUGACACUGUAUACUUUUUUUUUGCUCAUUAUAGAUUGAUUUUGAUAUAGACCUACUAUCAGACUGAACCUAAAAGUUGCAGGAUGGAUAGAAGUUUAAGAUAGAAAAUCUUCAAGAAAAUCGAAGCAUACAAACAGUUUUAAAAACACGAUUGAAUACUUAAAAUUCCAAAAUCUCGAUUGAAAACAUUUCAAAUAUUUGUUUUGUAUUUUUGUUUUUCUGUAAGUGCCAUCUAAAAACGAAAAUUAAAAAAAAAAAAAAACAUUAAAUUUCGACCAUUAUUACGAAAGUUAUUAAUCAAAAAAUCUCAAAAUUUACCAGGAAGCCUCAUUAAUUGAACACCACUAAAUGCACUAUACAAAUGCUAAAACAGGAUACAGAUUUACAUAAGACUUUUUUAAGAGCUCUAAUUAGGCGUAUCUACAGCGUCUUUUAACAGACAUAUAUAAUUCAUUGUAAUCGAUUCAUUAGUUUAAAAAAUGUCAUAUAAGAAAAAUUACCGCUCUUACAUUUUUCUCUGAUGUUUCAUAUUUUAACGGUCUAAUCUGAUUUGAAACUCAUAUAUUUUUUCAUCAAAGCACCUCAAAAGUAUAAAUAAAUUAAACUUCCUAGUUCA